Molecule: ribosomal RNA, 460 nt
Filed under: uncultured bacterium
Lineage: Bacteria
Description: partial 16S ribosomal RNA
Rfam family: Bacterial small subunit ribosomal RNA
Source: RNAcentral
CCUACGGGUGGCAGCAGUGAGGAAUAUUGGUCAAUGGGCGCGAGCCUGAACCAGCCAAGUAGCGUGAAGGAUGACUGCCCUACGGGUUGUAAACUUCUUUUGUAGAGGAAUAAAGUGAGGCACGUGUGCCUUUUUGUAUGUACUUUAUGAAUAAGGAUCGGCUAACUCCGUUCCAGCAGCCGCGGUAAUACGGAGGAUCCGAGCGUUAUCCGGAUUUAUUGGGUUUAAAGGGAGCGCAGAUGGGUUGUUAAGUCAGUUGUGAAAGUUUGCGGCUCAACCGUAAAAUUGCAAUUGAUACUGGCAGUCUUGAGUACAGGUGAGGUAGGCGGAAUUCGUGGUGUAGCGGUGAAAUGCUUAGAUAUCACGAAGAACUCCGAUUGCGAAGGCAGCUUACUAAGCUGACACUGACAUUGAUGCUCGAAAGUGUGGGGAUCAAACAGGAUUAGAUACCCCGGUAGUC